Molecule: transfer RNA, 72 nt
Filed under: Gymnorhina tibicen (Australian magpie)
Lineage: Eukaryota; Metazoa; Chordata; Aves; Passeriformes; Artamidae
Description: Cracticus tibicen (Australian magpie) tRNA
Rfam family: tRNA
About the family: Transfer RNA (tRNA) molecules are approximately 80 nucleotides in length. Their secondary structure includes four short double-helical elements and three loops (D, anti-codon, and T loops). Further hydrogen bonds mediate the characteristic L-shaped molecular structure. tRNAs have two regions of fundamental functional importance: the anti-codon, which is responsible for specific mRNA codon recognition, and the 3' end, to which the tRNAs corresponding amino acid is attached (by aminoacyl-tRNA synthetases). tRNAs cope with the degeneracy of the genetic code in two manners: having more than one tRNA (with a specific anti-codon) for a particular amino acid; and 'wobble' base-pairing, i.e. permitting non-standard base-pairing at the 3rd anti-codon position.
Source: Rfam by way of RNAcentral
GUUCCUGUAGUUAAAGUCUAAUAAUGGUGGCUUUUCAAGCCACAGAUCUUGGGUAAGAGCCAAGUAGGAACC